GAUGAACGCUGGCGGCGUGCCUAAUACAUGCAAGUCGAGCGAACAGACGAGGAGCUUGCUCCUCUGACGUUAGCGGCGGACGGGCGAGUAACACGUGGAUAACCUACCUAUAAGACUGGGAUAACUUCGGGAAACCGGAGCUAAUACCGGAUAAUAUUUUGAACCGCAUGGUUCAAAAGUGAAAGACGGUCUUGCUGUCACUUAUAGAUGGAUCCGCGCUGCAUUAGCUAGUUGGUAAGGUAACGGCUUACCAAGGCAACGAUGCAUAGCCGACCUGAGAGGGUGAUCGGCCACACUGGAACUGAGACACGGUCCAGACUCCUACGGGAGGCAGCAGUAGGGAAUCUUCCGCAAUGGGCGAAAGCCUGACGGAGCAACGCCGCGUGAGUGAUGAAGGUCUUCGGAUCGUAAAACUCUGUUAUUAGGGAAGAACAUAUGUGUAAGAAACUGUGCACAUCUUGACGGUACCUAAUCAGAAAGCCACGGCUAACUACGUG
Molecule: ribosomal RNA, 497 nt
Filed under: uncultured bacterium
Lineage: Bacteria
Description: partial 16S ribosomal RNA
Rfam family: Bacterial small subunit ribosomal RNA
Source: RNAcentral